CAGCAUAUUAGAAAUGUUUAUUAAGAAUAAUGGCAUGAACUGCUUUUAACAAUUUAGAAAAGACCCAUUCCCCCCGCCCCCCCCCCGCCCCCAGAUCCAGGGCACUUCCUCUAAGUAAACACAAAUAUUUCUGUAGUGAACUGUAUGCAUAUUCCCACUGAGUAAAGGUUAUAAGAAGCCUCAGUGGGUUCUUGACAAAUGUGCAUCAGUUGGAUGCUGAAGACAAACCAAAGUAGGAGACCAACAAGCACUUUAAGGGUGGUCGGGGGUUGACCUCAAAUCUGGAACUUUAUUCAUCACGGACUAUGGCACUAUAGAAAACUGUGGGCUCUCUUCCUUAGAGCAGAUAGACAGCCAGAGACUGGGACUCCCUGGGCUGGAUGAUCACAAAGCACAUUGUAAACACAGCAGAGCAGAGCAGGUUUAGAGUUGUUAUACAAAUAAAUUUUGG
Molecule: non-coding RNA, 451 nt
Filed under: Pan troglodytes (chimpanzee)
Lineage: Eukaryota; Metazoa; Chordata; Mammalia; Primates; Hominidae
Source: RNAcentral